GAUCAUGGCUCAGGAUGAACGCUAGCUACAGGCUUAACACAUGCAAGUUGAUGGGAAACGACAUCGAAAGCUUGCUUUUGAUGGGCGUCGACCGGCGCACGGGUGAGUAACGCGUAUCCAACCUGCCCAUCACUUGGGAAUAACCUUGCGAAAGUAAGACUAAUGCCCAAUGACAUCCCACGAAGGCAUCCGAAUGGGAUUAAAGAUUUAUCGGUGAUGGAUGGGGAUGCGU
This 232-nucleotide ribosomal RNA is filed under the name uncultured bacterium. Its description in RNAcentral is "partial 16S ribosomal RNA". It matches the Rfam family "Bacterial small subunit ribosomal RNA", at positions 15 to 236 of the family's 1533-position model. The record is from RNAcentral.